UAUGGUUUAAUUCGAUGCAAAGUGAAGAACCUUACCAGGGCUUGACAUGCCGCAAAUCCUCUUGAAAGAGAGGGGUGCCUUCGGGAUCGCGGACACAGGUGGUUAAUGGCUGUCGUCAGCUCGUGCCGUAAGGUGUUGGGUUAAGUUCCGCAACGAGCGCAACCCUCGUGUUUAGACCAGAAGCUGAACUUGAUGUUGAGAAUUCAAUGUUCAGAGCUCAAUUGCCUCACCCAGAUCCUCGAGAUGAGCUGUCAAAGUUGAUGGACAUAAUGCAACAUAUG
Molecule: ribosomal RNA, 281 nt
Organism: Gossypium arboreum
Lineage: Eukaryota; Viridiplantae; Streptophyta; Magnoliopsida; Malvales; Malvaceae
Rfam family: Bacterial small subunit ribosomal RNA
Source: Rfam